GUGAUACUGUACACAGGGUAAGAAAUGGGGUGGAGAAAAAAAAAAAGGCCUCUAUUUUUUUCUUUAAAACAAGGUACCAGUGUAGCCUGGCACAACCAAAGUAGCACCCGCCAACUUCUGACGUACCUGCAAGUCCUCGCACUUGGAGCCCUUAUCCGUGGAAAAUGCUUACGUGUGAGGAAGGGGUGCUGUACUACUGAGGCUUCCCUAAGAACUCAGUCAUCUGAAGGGAUGAUCCAGGGGCUUACGUGUUAAGUCGGCAUUAUAAAGCAAGAAGAUAUUCUGGAUAACACCCUCCUUGAGGAAUUGCUUUGUACUACCUGCAGCUGAAUGUUGAAAUUUCUCUUCUGGAAACCUUGACUUCUACAAGGGUCUCUCAUCUGUGGGUAUCUUCUAAAGUCAGUAUUCUCCAGGUGCUCCCAGACUGGAGCCCAGAGGGGCUAAAACCAGUUCACAGGUACCUGCCAGUUCCACAGCCUGAACCAAGGUCUGUCUGCCUAUUAACCAGUGCACAGCUUCUGCAUGCUUGGCAACUACAGCCUUUUUGAGAAGAUACCUUGAACUGCAGAAACUGCUUUGCCCAGAGGCGCUGAAAUCCAAAAGUCUGCCCAGGGCUGCCCACAGCCAAUGACUGACUACUGCAGCUCUCUCCAGACACCAUGUGGGAUCUACAGAUGCUUUUCUUUGCUCCUUUGAGUUUUCUUUGCUUCCACUGCCAGGGGUAAACAUGGACUGACUUUGGAACCACAUGAGCAACUGCUGGAUCCUAUAGUCACGUGGGUGGUACCCUAUGAACAGAUCUCUAUUGACCAACAACAAGCUGCUUUUCUAUAUAUGGGAGUUUCAAGGUGGAAAAACAGCAUCCUAUUUGGAAUACUGUGACACUAAGACCAGUGCGUGCAAAGACUGAUUAAAGAAGGUGUCAGCAUCAGUGCUCUGCUAUGCUCUAAGAGGCAGGUUUCCUGGUCGUACAUGGUCUUUAGUGAUUUGCAGAAAGAAUAUCAACUCGCUUCACUGCCAGUUGGUGCCUGUG
Molecule: long non-coding RNA, 1033 nt
Organism: Ailuropoda melanoleuca (giant panda)
Lineage: Eukaryota; Metazoa; Chordata; Mammalia; Carnivora; Ursidae
Exons: 7
Source: RefSeq, a predicted model, not a curated record